CCUACGGGAGGCAGCAGUGAGGAAUAUUGGUCAAUGGGAGGAAUCCUGAACCAGCCAUGCCGCGUGCAGGACGACGGCUCUACGAGUUGUAAACUGCUUUUGUACCGGGGUAAAAUGCGCUACGAGUAGGGUUUUGAAAGUACGGUACGAAUAAGGAUCGGCUAACUCCGUGCCAGCAGCCGCGGUAAUACGGAGGAUCCGAGCGUUAUCCGGAUUUAUUGGGUUUAAAGGGUGCGUAGGUGGUUUUAUAAGUCAGCGGUGAAAUACCGCUGCUCAACAUCGGGACUGCCGCUGAUACUGUCGGACUAGAGUUCGGUUGCAGCAGGCGGAAUGUGUGGUGUAGCGGUGAAAUGCAUAGAUAUUACGCAGAACACCGAUUGCGAAGGCAGCUUGCUAGGCCGGAUCUGACACUGAUGCACGAAAGCGUGGGGAUCGAACAGGAUUAGAUACCCGAGUAGUC
Molecule: ribosomal RNA, 460 nt
Filed under: uncultured bacterium
Lineage: Bacteria
Description: partial 16S ribosomal RNA
Rfam family: Bacterial small subunit ribosomal RNA
Source: RNAcentral